GACGAACGCUGGCGGCAUGCCUAAUACAUGCAAGUCGAGCGAACAGAUGAAGUGCUUGCACUUCUGACGUUUGCGGCGAACGGGUGAGUAACACGUAAGGAAUCUACCUAUAAGCGGGGGAUAACAUUCGGAAACGGGUGCUAAUACCGCAUAAUAUCUUCUUCCGCAUGGAAGAAGAUUGAAAGACGGCUCUGCUGUCACUUAUAGAUGACCUUGCGGUGCAUUAGUUAGUUGGUGGGGUAAUGGCCUACCAAGACAAUGAUGCAUAGCCGACCUGAGAGGGUGAUCGGCCACAUUGGGACUGAGACACGGCCCAAACUCCUACGGGAGGCAGCAGUAGGGAAUCUUCCGCAAUGGGCGAAAGCCUGACGGAGCAAUGCCGCGUGAGUGAAGAAGGCCUUCGGGUCGUAAAACUCUGUUAUAAGAGAAGAACAAAUUGUAGAGUAACUGCUACAGUCUUGACGGUAUCUUAUCAGAAAGCCACGGCUAACUACGUACCAGCCGCCGCCGUAA
RNAcentral lists this ribosomal RNA (513 nucleotides) under uncultured bacterium. Its description in RNAcentral is "partial 16S ribosomal RNA". It matches the Rfam family "Bacterial small subunit ribosomal RNA", at positions 28 to 523 of the family's 1533-position model. The record is from RNAcentral.